Molecule: unclassified non-coding RNA, 1889 nt
Filed under: Thrips palmi
Lineage: Eukaryota; Metazoa; Arthropoda; Insecta; Thysanoptera; Thripidae
Description: dihydroorotate dehydrogenase (quinone), mitochondrial-like, transcript variant X4
Source: RNAcentral
AAUCUAAACACACGUUACGGUGGAAAUGUUAAAGGUUAAUUUUAGUUCAUCAAUGUCGCGUAAAGCUUCUGACAAAGACGUAAAGCCCGCUGCCCGAGCCGUCCAUCUCUCAGCAUCAACCGACGCUGCCGGACCGGAGCUGAGCAUCUUCGAAUCGUUGAGGAUGAAGAAAGGCGUGAAGCAUCUUAUUUCCAUGGCUGCGGUGUGCUCUGGUGGGACCUGCGUCUAUGCUGGUUAUAACAUUUUCAGGGGGAAUGAAAAGUUCUAUGAUAAUAUUCUUAUCCCACUGUUGCACUGCCUCAACCCUGAAACGGCUCACAACUUUGCAGUUCAAGCAUCCAAGUUUAAGUUGAUUCCACACAGUCACUUUAAAGAUCCUGAAUGUUUGACAACCAAUGUGUGGAACAUAAAAUUUGCUAAUCCCGUUGGCAUGGCUGCUGGAUUUGAUAAACAAGGUGGAGCUGUAGAGGGUUUGCUCCAGGUUGGGUUUGGAUUUGUAGAGAUUGGCUCUGUCACUCCUAUGCCCCAGCCAGGGAACCCUCAGCCUCGAGUUUUUCGAUUGCCAGAAGAUAGUGCUGUCAUUAACAGAUACGGCUUUAAUAGUGAUGGCCAUGUUGCUGUUCAUCAACGACUUAAGAACUUACGUGAAAACGGGACCGAUGGUAUUAUUGGGGUGAAUCUAGGUAAAAAUAAAACGUCAAGUGACCCUGUACAGGACUACGUAGAUGGAAUCAAGAUGUUUGGAGAUGUAGCAGAUUAUCUCGUAAUAAACGUGUCAAGCCCCAAUACUCCUGGUCUCCGAAACUGGCAGAACAGUAGCCAGCUUCAAGAACUUCUCACAGCUUUGGUGUCAGCCAGGAACGAACUCCCACAACUGAUCAAACCACCACUUCUUUUGAAGCUAGCUCCUGAUUUGACGCAACAAGAAAGAAAAGAUAUUGCUAGAGUCAUUUCCCGCAAGGAGUGCGCAGUUGAUGGUUUGAUAAUAUCGAACACAACAGUUUCUCGAGAGAACCUUCAAAGCCCUGCUGCCGGAGAACAGGGAGGGUUAAGUGGGAAGCCAUUGGCCGUCUCGUCAACUAGUUUAAUAAAAGACAUGUUUGUUUUAACCAAAGGUGAAGUUCCUAUUGUGGGAGUUGGUGGAAUAUUUACUGGCAAGGAUGCUUAUGAGAAGAUUAGAGCUGGUGCAAGCCUUGUACAGUUCUACACAGCUUACAUAUAUCAUGGACCCCCAAGAAUUACGAAAAUCAAACAGGAGCUGAGUCACCUUUUAAGUGCUGAUGGGUAUACAAACGUGGCAGAGGCUGUUGGAAAGGACGUGGAAGUUUGAUUUCCGAUUUAAGAAGUAUUGCUGUUAGCCGAUACCAGUGCAGGCUCUGUGGCUGGAGUGGUGAGCAAUCAGCUACCAGGAUUUCUUUCCUGGGGGUUGAUCCAACCGACCACCCGGGGUGCUAAUCCCCGUUACCCGAAACGUGGCCCGAAAUAAUGGCAAUUCAAGCACGGGUGGAGCGGAUCAGCAGUACACCUCACCUCUCCUCGGUGUUCUGGAAAAGGAGAACCGAUGUCGUCCAGCGACGAAUUACAGAAGGGACUAUAUGAGUGUUCACGCCGCCGAGCUGUACUUACCGCCACUUGCUGCACGAGGCAUGGCUGCAGCGUGCAACGUGUUGGUGCAGUAAGGGCUUAAAUUCAGCAAAUGAUGAGCCUGGACUAAGCAGCUGCCCCGUGCCAGAUUUUUGGUGUUUAGUCAAAUUUGCAACGUUCGUGCAUUUCUUCAGAUUUGAAUAAUAACGAGGAUAUUAUUGAUCCUGUGCGCGCGAGCAUGCAAUUACUUUUGUUGAUGUUUUCACAAUGUUCGAAUCAUGUUAAAAUUUUAAUUAUGUUUCUUA